UGGGGAAUAUUGCACAAUGGGGGAAACCCUGAUGCAGCGACGCCGCGUGAGCGAAGAAGGCUUUCGAGUCGUAAAGCUCUGUCCUAUGAGAAGAUAAUGACGGUAUCAUAGGAGGAAGCCCUGGCUAAAUACGUGCCAGCAGCCGCGGUAAUACGUAUGGGGCGAGCGUUGUCCGGAAUUAUUGGGCGAAAAGGGUACGUAGGCGGUUUUUUAAGUCAGGUGUCAAAGCGUGGAGCUUAACUCCAUUAAGCACUUGAAACUGAAAGAAUUGAGUGAAGGAGAGGAAAGUGGAAUUCCUAGUGUAGCGGUGAAAUACGUAGAUAUUAGGAGGAAUACCGGUGGCGAAGGCGACUUUCUGGGCUUUUACUGACGCUCAGGUACGAAAGCGUGGGGAGCAAACAGG
RNAcentral lists this ribosomal RNA (403 nucleotides) under Verrucomicrobiota bacterium. RNAcentral describes it as "Verrucomicrobia bacterium partial 16S ribosomal RNA". It matches the Rfam family "Bacterial small subunit ribosomal RNA", at positions 355 to 776 of the family's 1533-position model. Lineage: Bacteria; Pseudomonadati; Verrucomicrobiota. The record is from RNAcentral.